This 470-nucleotide ribosomal RNA is filed under the name uncultured bacterium. Its description in RNAcentral is "bacterial SSU rRNA". It matches the Rfam family "Bacterial small subunit ribosomal RNA", at positions 335 to 803 of the family's 1533-position model. The record is from RNAcentral.
ACUCCUACGGGAGGCAGCAGUGAGGAAUAUUGGUCAAUGGACGCAAGUCUGAACCAGCCAUGCCGCGUGCAGGAAGAAUGCCCUAUGGGGUUGUAAACUGCUUUUUAUUUGGGAAGAAACCUCUUUACGUGUAGAGAGCUGACGGUACCAAACGAAUAAGCACCGGCUAACUCCGUGCCAGCAGCCGCGGUAAUACGGAGGGUGCAAGCGUUAUCCGGAAUCAUUGGGUUUAAAGGGUCCGCAGGCGGGCUUAUAAGUCAGUGGUGAAAUCUCUCGGCUCAACCGAGAAACUGCCAUUGAUACUGUAGGUCUUGAAUUCGGUCGAAGUGGGCGGAAUGAGUAGUGUAGCGGUGAAAUGCAUAGAUAUUACUCAGAACACCGAUAGCGAAGGCAGCUCACUAGGCCUGGAUUGACGCUGAGGGACGAAAGCGUGGGAGCGAACAGGAUUAGAUACCCCUGGUAGCGACUGA